Molecule: long non-coding RNA, 4634 nt
Organism: Harpia harpyja (harpy eagle)
Lineage: Eukaryota; Metazoa; Chordata; Aves; Accipitriformes; Accipitridae
Exons: 5
Source: RefSeq, a predicted model, not a curated record
GAGACCAUUGAGGAGUCCUGGUGACUCGGAGUCGCUGGUGAUUUACAGUCAAUAAUUCACUUUGCAACCAGAGAUACAUUUGAGAAGGGAUUCGUACCGGAUCUAGUUCUGCUUUGUUGUUCAGCGCUCCCCAGAAUGCAGCUCUGGUGUAAGUUAGGAAAUACGGCUGGUCUUGCUAAAAAUGUAGCCACGCGCUGCUUGAUUUCUUCGAUUGGAAACUAAAGCACAUAAUUUCUGCUAUUGCAUUUAAUGGGCGACUUUCCCACAUGCGUUAGCGUGAUCUCAAGCUUUUUAAAUCUAUUUAAAUACAAGUUCGUGUUUGUCCUAGUAAAAUUAACUACCGACCCACUCCCACUGCUGGCGUGGCAGGCGAAGCUGUAGCAAAAGAACAGGUGUCGUCAUUUCCGGUAACGGUCCGUCUCUUUGUUCGGCGCUUAGCGCGGGGCCGAAUGCCCGCCUACCGCCCGCCCGCGAGCCCCUUUCCCCGGGCAUUGUGGGAAGGCGACGGGCGGGGCCCGCGGGCAGGAGGCGCGCCUGCCCCGCCGGGAGCGGGGUCGGGCCCUGGGCGGCCGCGGGUCGGGGUUCGGCCCCUUUGGGCGGCCGCGGCUCCGGGCUGGCUGAGCUGUUCGGGCAGCUGCGUUCUAGCGCGCAGAGCGGUCGAGGUGGGGGUCUGAGGUAGGAGCUUCAGGGUGAGUCUAGGUUGAGCCGUGUCUGCAGUAGAAGGUACAUCUGUGGUCCACAGCUUGUUGUUGGAUCAGUGAUCGUAUAUGGGGUGUUCAGGAGUUGCAAGGUGGUUUAAUAUUCUGCAUUCUCGAUUUUUUUUUUUUUGGGCGCAUUGCUAUUUUUUGGCAUUUCUGAGUUUACUGUAGAAGGAACCUUGGUUUUUUCACUGGUUCUGCCGGAUAUCGUUGAAGUUGUUGACAUCAUCUUUUUCUAUGGGACUGAUGGUAAGAUCAUCGAGCAGGGGUUAGGGUGAGCAUCUUGUAUCUAUCUGGAGUUUCAGCAUUUCUCAAGAAAGCAGCAGGCAUAUUGGGCACAGUGUUUUUCAGGGCAUGGGACAGCUUGUUGCCUUUCCCGAUCACCCACAAGGUACCACGUUGUUCCUAGAGCCUUUGCAGCGUGCAGCAGGCCCCUUCCAGGCUAUAAGUGUCUGAAAUUCACUUACUAUGUGGGCCUGUAGCAGAGUGCAGAGCCUGUGGGAUGUCAGAGGACAGGAGGUGCCUGCAGGAGGCAGGGCAGGGCUUGGAAGAGGUGCUCAUGAGGAGCAGCUGACACAGGGAGUUCAGGGGUGCAAAUACAGGGCAAGGAGCUGUUGGGAAGGAGCGGGGUUUGUUCCCCAACAGUUAAGAAGAGAAGGGGUUUCGGAAGUUUCAGGACUGAGGGGUUGGUUGGGAAAGAGAGGUGGGUUCAUCAGUUGUCCUCAGACUGGUUUUGCAGUCGGAUUUAGCUGUCGAUGAGGUCUGUUCAGUCUGAGUCAUUCUGCAGCCAAUACAAGGUACGAUGAAGCUAUGAGAAAUGCACUGUCAACCAUCUGGGCCUCUAUGUCACCAUGCAUGGAGCUGACUGUCAGAUGGGUCUUAUCCCCACAGGAGGUCCUGAGGUACAAGCUCUGGCGAUGAUAGAGCUGAAGUGGAUGACAGGCUGUUUGGAAUUAAGUGGUAAUGGAGGGGAUAGGAUGGUUUAAGGGUAUUUUAAUAGGGACAUGUCAUGGCCUAGGUGUGAGUGUAGAAAACUCCAAACUAUGGCUCAGAAACAUCAAGGGCCAGAGAGGUAGGAGGAUCAGCUGUACAAAGCAGGCCACAGAGGGAAUAGUACCCGUUGCUCAUUUGGUAUGUGAGAUGUAAAUUAAAAUAUACUGUCCAGAACUCUGAGGUCUCUGCUCCCUUGUGCCUUUUAGUCACCACAUUCCCUGACUUAAUUUCAUGUUCAUCCCUUCACCGUCCAUCCAGAUGUCAUGGUCACUGCUACUUAGAGGCAUCGACGAGGCGCUUAUGUCCAUUGCAGAUUUCUGGCACAGUCUUCCCUGGAAUUUCUCAGAGAAGAAUAUGUACAUUAUCCCAGCUCAUAAUGGUCUCUGUCCAGGGGCCUUUUCUUUAUCGCAGUCCCUGGGCACACAAGCCUUCUCCAUUAUCCCAGUUUUACUUUUUUCCCUUAACUGUCCAAUGAGGUUUGCUUUAGUAUCAGUCAUGGCAGUUAUGUUCUCUUGUCCUUGUUUAUUGUGUUUUCAGCACCAGUUUCUGUAGCUGUAGGGUGUCUGUUUUAGAUCUUGAGUUGCCACGUCACGCCAUUGUGGUUUUUCCCAUUGGCUGACCACCUCUGUAAUAGCAUAAGGGGCUUCGUAGGUAAUUGGGUUUGGGUGUGUGGCAGGUACACCCACCCCGACAGGAAACAAAACUUCUCUGGGCAGGAAGGAGAGGGAAAAAAAAAGCAUCUCCGUAACAGGUGUCUUGAGCCACUUUCAAGGCAGGCCUCGUCCUCAGGACUUCAUCUGUUGGGCAGUCUUGGUUGCCACGUUCAGAGCUCUUGCAACAGAAGGAAAGUCACCAAGUGCUGGAUCCCUAGCCUGGGAUGGCAGGGAACAGAGUUCUGCUCCUCCUGGGAUGGCUCAUGUCCAAGGCCAGCAUUGCUCCUUUCUAUGCCAGGGACACUGCAGGAGACCUGGCAGGCACAUCCCAGGAGUGCUCAUCCCUUCUUCCUUUCCUCCUCUCAGCUCAAGCCCUUGUCCUUGCUGAGAUAGCCCUGCUGACCCUGGACCCACCCUGGAGCAUGAUGCUUCCAGGAGAGAGCAUGAUCCUUAGGUGCUGGGGCUCCCACUCGCUGUGGCAGCACCCCACGGCUUGGUACAAUGGCAAGCUCUUGGCACCCACAGAUAUGUACACCUACAGGAUCAGAAUGAGUGUCAGAGCCCUGCCUCCAGGCACAGCAACUGUGUUACCCUGACUGUCUCCUAUGACUGGCUGAUCCUCUAGGUCCUGUCGUACAUGGUGUUCAAGGGGGAACGGCUGCCCAUCAUGCAGUGCUGGGGAUGGGAUGGCAGGGCACAUCUUCGGUGCGGUAUUACAGAGAUGGAGCUGGCAUCACUAUGCGAUAUGCCUCAGCAGAGCAGCAUUCCAUCUCCUGACCUGAGACCCACCACAGUGACAGGUAUCACUGCUCCUUUUCAUUGCUAAAAGGCAGUCUUGGGUUUUAUACGUUUCCACUGAAGGUAAAUUCCUGUGUCUUUGGGCUCUCUGUCUUCCCAGGGUCUCAUCUGGUGGGAGCUGCAGGACAGAGAGGGUGAGGGGUUCUGUACGAUGUCUGAGCUGGGUCUGUGCUACCAAUGCCAGUGCAGGAAACCUGGCACCUGCCCACCACCAGAAAAAGACGUGCCCGGUCACAACCCCCAGCCUGGCUCUAGGACACUCCCCACACCCAUCUUGGGGUCUUGGCCCUGCACAGCCUUGGUGGGGUGGGAAGAUUGUCCUUUCCUUCCUGCAUCUUUAGAGGUGAUGCAGCCCCAGAAGGUGCAUCUGACAAGAUGUGCCCCAUCUCCCCCCUUCCUCACACUGUGUCCAUCUCUCCCCAACCCCAUCCAUCUCUCCCCACUGCCCAUGCCUGUCUCGCUGUCCCAUCCCCCUCCACGUGUCCCUCUGUCCCCCUCUGCAUGUCUUGCCACCCCCCAAAUGCUUUCUACCGAAAUGUACCCCAUGUGAGUUUUUCCCCACAUGACAUUUUUUCCCGUGUGACACCCCCAUGCACAUCCCCUGCCCUCCUAUCUUGUCUUCCCACUCCCCUCUCCCUCCACCCCCCCUAUUCCACACUAGAGUGCACAGAAAUUUGGUAGGGGACGCAGCCAGGACAGCUGACCCCAACUGACCAAAGGGAUAUUCCAGAUCGUAUGAUGUCAUGCUCAGUAAUAAAAUUAGGGGGGAGGUUGGUGGGGGGGACACUGCUCGGGGUCUGGCUGGGCUUUGGUCUGUUAGUGUUGACCAAUUGUUUUCAUUUGCAUCGCUUGUCUUGGAUUUUACUUUUCUCUCUUUGUGUCCCCAUCCCCCUUAUAAUGUGUUGUUUUUUUUUUUAAUUAUUAAACUGUUUAUUUCAACCCACAAGUUUUCUCACUUUUGCCCUUCUGAUUCUCUCCCCCAUCCCACCGAGGCAGGGCGGGGAGUGAGUGAGCAGUUGUGUGGUGCUUAGUUGCCAGCUGGGAUGAAACCACAGCACAAGGUCUGUUGCAAGCCUUGCCUGGCUAAUGCUUAAGGCUCUCCAUGUUAUUCCUACCAUCUUGAUAGGCCAUUGUUGUGGUUUAACCCCAGCCAGCAACUAAGCACCACGCAGCCGCUCACUCCCCCCCCCCCCCCCCCCAGUGGGAUGGGGGAGAAAAUUGGGAAAAGAAGUAAAAGUUGUGGGUUGAGAUAAGAACAGUUUAAUAGAACAGAAAAGAAGAAACUAAUAAUGAUAAUGAUAACACUAAUAAAAUGACAACGGUAAUAAUAAAAGGAUUGGAAUGUACAAAUGGUGUGCAGUGCAAUUGCUCACCACCCGCCGAUUGACACCGAGUUAGUCCCCGAGGAGUGAUCCCCUGCCCCCACUCCCCCCAGUUUAUAUACUAGAUGUGAUGUCACAUGGUAUGGAAUACCCCGUUGGCCACUUUGGGU